CCAAAGGCCCUUUUUAGGGCCAACCAAAGGGUCCUCGGAGGAGCUG
Non-coding RNA from Pteropus alecto (black flying fox), 46 nucleotides. The record is from Rfam. Lineage: Eukaryota; Metazoa; Chordata; Mammalia; Chiroptera; Pteropodidae.